GAUGAACGCUGGCGGCGUGCCUAAUACAUGCAAGUCGAGCGAACUGAUUAGAAGCUUGCUUCUAUGACGUUAGCGGCGGACGGGUGAGUAACACGUGGGCAACCUGCCUGUAAGACUGGGAUAACUUCGGGAAACCGAAGCUAAUACCGGAUAGGAUCUUCUCCUUCAUGGGAGAUGAUUGGAAGAUGGUUUCGGCUAUCACUUACAGAUGGGCCCGCGGUGCAUUAGCUAGUUGGUGAGGUAACGGCUCACCAAGGCAACGAUGCAUAGCCGACCUGAGAGGGUGAUCGGCCACACUGGGACUGAGUCACGGCCCAGACUCCUCCGGGAGGCAGCAGUAGGGAAUCUUCCGCAAUGGACGAAGGUCUGACGGAGCAACGCCGCGUGAGUGAUGAAGUCUUUCGGGUCGUAAAACUCUGUUGUUAGGGAAGAACAAGUACAAGAGUAACUGCUUGUACCUUGACGGUACCUAACCAGAAAGCCACGGCUAACUACGUGCCAGCAGCCGCCGUAA
RNAcentral lists this ribosomal RNA (514 nucleotides) under uncultured bacterium. Its description in RNAcentral is "partial 16S ribosomal RNA". It matches the Rfam family "Bacterial small subunit ribosomal RNA", at positions 28 to 523 of the family's 1533-position model. The record is from RNAcentral.